CCUACGGGGGGCAGCAGUGGGGAAUAUUGCACAAUGGGGGGAACCCUGAUGCAGCGACGCCGCGUGGGUGAAGGAGUAUUUCGGUAUGUAAAGCCCUAUCAGCAGGGAAGAACAAUGACGGUACCUGACUAAGAAGCACCGGCUAAAUACGUGCCAGCAGCCGCGGUAAUACGUAUGGUGCAAGCGUUAUCCGGAUUUACUGGGUGUAAAGGGAGCGCGGGCGGCGAGUUAAGCCUGGGGUGAAAGCCCGCGGCCCAACCGCGGGACUGCAUUGGGAACUGGCGCGCGGGAGUGCCGGAGGGGUAAGCGGAAUUCCUAGUGUAGCGGUGAAAUGCGUAGAUAUUAGGAGGAACACCGGUGGCGAAGGCGGCUUACUGGACUGUAACUGACGUUGAGGCUCGAAGGCGUGGGGAGCAAACAGGAUUAGAUACCCGAGUAGUC
RNAcentral lists this ribosomal RNA (441 nucleotides) under uncultured bacterium. Its description in RNAcentral is "partial 16S ribosomal RNA". It matches the Rfam family "Bacterial small subunit ribosomal RNA", at positions 338 to 795 of the family's 1533-position model. The record is from RNAcentral.